UUUUCUUUGUGAUUUGAUAGUUUGGUUUGUGGCCUUCUAUCUUACUCUGGAUCUCCCAUUCUCUUUAUUUAACUUUUUGUUGCUUAAAUAAAAAUGCAAUGUUUACAGCACAGUUUACUGUGAUUUUGGUUGACCUUUAUUCUUUUGAUUUUAUGUUUUAUUUAUAUUGGCUUUAGUUUUUUACUGAAUCACCAAGUAUGGUUAACCCAACAGGUGAAAAUAAAUACUAUAUCACUGCAAAGGGUUCGUUCAAAGUGGGUCGCAAAGGGUGUGAUAUAAUUAUCACCAAGGACAAAGGUGUUUCUCGGGUACAUGCAGAAAUAUUUCUUGAGGAGAUGACUUCUGCUAAUCCCCUGAAGACUUCUAGUUUGUCCAACAAAGUUUGAAUUAAAGAUUGCUCAAAGUACGGACAUUUAUUAACAAGAGCCUUGGGUCAAUGGAGAAAGUCCAUGAGUUCCCACGAAAAGAAACAAGUUUAACAGAUGGGAACCUGAUUUCAUUUGGAACUGGUAAUGCAACGUACAUGUUUUCUUUUGUUCCACUCAUUAUUUGGGUCUACUCUUUGGAGUCCAACCAAGCGAAUCAACCCCUUAAAGAUAAACUUUCAUCAAUA
This is a long non-coding RNA of Humulus lupulus (European hop), 613 nucleotides long. RefSeq lists it as uncharacterized. The transcript is spliced from 3 exons. NCBI's taxonomy places the organism in Eukaryota, Viridiplantae, Streptophyta, Magnoliopsida, Rosales, Cannabaceae. The record is from RefSeq and is a predicted model, not a curated record.